UACGUAGGUGACCAGCGUUGUCCGGAUUUACUGGGCGUAAAGAGCGCGCAGGCGGUCGUUCAAGUCGGGUGUGAAAGCCCCCGGCUCAACUGGGGAGGGUCAUUCGAUACUGAUCGACUUGAAGGCAGGAGAGGGAAGUGGAAUUCCCGGUGUAGUGGUGAAAUGCGUAGAUAUCGGGAGGAACACCAAUGGCGAAGGCAGCUCGCUGGGACGGUACUGACGCUGAGGCGCGAAAGCGUGGGGAGCAAACAGG
Molecule: ribosomal RNA, 253 nt
Filed under: uncultured bacterium
Lineage: Bacteria
Description: partial 16S ribosomal RNA
Rfam family: Bacterial small subunit ribosomal RNA
Source: RNAcentral